GUGGUUACAUAGAAAUUUUGGGAUUCAAAAUGGACUAAAGACCUAAAUGUGAGACCUAAAACCAUAAAACUCCUAGAAGAAGACACAGGCAGUAACUUAUCUGACAUGGGCUGUAGCAAUAUUUUUCUACUAGGUCUCCUGAGGCAAGGGAAAUAA
Molecule: long non-coding RNA, 156 nt
Organism: Leopardus geoffroyi (Geoffroy's cat)
Lineage: Eukaryota; Metazoa; Chordata; Mammalia; Carnivora; Felidae
Exons: 4
Source: RefSeq, a predicted model, not a curated record